CACGUCCUCCAAAAUGUGUCCACUGAAUGCGCCAACAACACUUUGCAAUUUCUUACUGAUAUCGCCAACGGCCUGCCCUAUGCGAGCCAGAUGUGGUUAUCCAAUGGAGACUUUCUAAAUCUGGACGUCCUGACUACUUACAACACCCAUAGUAUCGGUAAUGUGGAGCAGUGCCAGGUAGUCAAGGAUUGGAACCCAGACGCCCCGUUUGAGACGCAAUACUGCACCCUCUCUUACUUGGCCUUGGCAACGACUCUUCGCGUUGGUGUGUGUGUGCCCUCGAGCUGUUCAAAUGCCGACCUAAAGGAAGUUUUUGGAGUUAUUCCAGCUCUUGGAAAAAGUGCCGAGUUUAAUUGUAUUUUCGACUAUCCUUGGAAAACAGGAGCAAUUGUGACACUAUGUCUCCUGUGUGGCUUCCUGCUUAUGGUUGUCAUUGGAACAGUGUACCACCUGACUUGUCACAGACAAAUCCAGGCCAGCAUCACUGAAACAAAAGCCAACAUUGAAAAGAUGGAGAAAAAUCUUUCUGAAGAGAAAAUGACGAACUCUGUCAAAGAGACGCAAAUCGAGCUAAAAGCUAGCAUCAACGGAAAUAGCGACUGGACAGGGAUGAUGCACUUAGGUAAAAACGGCCAAACAGCUCAUGACAAUGAUGGGUUCAUCGACGUAGAGGGCGGUCUGGAGAGAACAGAAAAUGUCGACCCUGCAUCAAACGCGCCUACGUACAGUGCCAGCGAUAUAAAGGGUAGUAAGAAAAAAGUUAUCAAAAUGGGUUUUGUGGAUACUUUACUUAUGGGUUUCUCAGCAUUGCACAACGGUGCAAAGGUCCUGAACACUGAAGAGGCGGCUGGAAACCUGAGCGUCCUGAACGGGAUCCGUGUCAUCAGCAUGUGGUGGAUUAUUCUUGGCCACACCUUUGAUAUUAUUCCUCCUUAUUUAGAUGAUCCUCGCUAUGCGACCACGGAGCUGUUCUCAUCGUUUUGGUUCUCCGCUGUCAUGUAUUUCUCAGUGUCUGUCGACACUUUCUUCUUCCUCAGUGGUCUCCUUCUUGUGUACAAUACCUUGAAGCAUCUCAAGAAAUCCAACGGUAGAAUGAACUGGGCUCUCUUCUAUCUCCACCGCUUCAUCCGCAUCACUCCGGCCUACAUGAUCUGCAUCGCUGUCUUUUCCACCUUGAUCGUCCAUUUCAAUGAGGGUCCAGGCCAAAUUGAACUAUUCGAAAGCUCAGCGAGAAUCUGCCGGGAGCGAUGGUGGACAAACCUACUCUACAUCAACAACUUGUAUCCGUUUCCCGGUAGUUUAGGCGAACAGUGUGUGGGUUGGUCCUGGUAUCUGGCGAACGACAUGCAGUUCUUCGUGAUCAGUCCUGUUAUCAUUUAUCUACUGUAUAGGUAUUCCAAGCUUGGAAUUGGAUUGAUUGUUGCAUUGUGUUUGGGUUCCUUUGGCAUCACUGCCUACUUAGCCACUUACUAUGGUGUAUCGCUUGGAGUCAGCCCACCAUACAAUAACAAUACUGUUGUUGUCUAUGGAAAUGCUGCUGCAGAUGUCAUAUACAUGAAGCCAUAUUGUCGCAUCCCUCCUUAUUUGGUGGGCAUGGUAUUUGGGUACAUCUUUUACAGGCUCAACGGUCAGCCCUUCAAGAUGAACAAGAUGCGAUGCCUUGGCGCUGCACGUCUUUUUUUUCGCUUGGACUAUGAGGUCUCAUUUCACCGUCGUGGAAAAGAUGGCUAACCAGUCGGUGUGGGCUGCGACUAGUUUGGCGUGUUGAAAUUGGGUGGCAAAGUGGGUCAACGUCAUCAUGUGGAUUGCAGCCGUUGGUGCGGGUCUGGCUAUC
Molecule: unclassified non-coding RNA, 1834 nt
Filed under: Acanthaster planci (crown-of-thorns starfish)
Lineage: Eukaryota; Metazoa; Echinodermata; Asteroidea; Valvatida; Acanthasteridae
Description: nose resistant to fluoxetine protein 6-like, transcript variant X4
Source: RNAcentral